This 1535-nucleotide long non-coding RNA is filed under the name Phasianus colchicus (ring-necked pheasant). RNAcentral's name for it is "lncRNA (ENSPCLG00000004443.1)". The record is from RNAcentral. Lineage: Eukaryota; Metazoa; Chordata; Aves; Galliformes; Phasianidae.
GGGGGAUGUAGGGAUUCAUCUUUGUCACAUUUUCUCUCUAAUUUAGCUGUCUAGGGAGCCUCCCUUGUUUUGCAGAAGUGGAAACAUCCAGUUUAAUUUCAUCUUUUCUCAGACUGCAGUAGCUUGCUUCCUCAGAAGCCAGGGUCUCUCUCCAUUUAUUCUUAGUGUUUAUCCCUUUAAUUCUCCUACAGUUUCACAAGUGCUUCUGGUAUAUUUUGUAAUUUUAGCUUAUAAUCACAUUUUUCGAAGAGGCACCAUCUGGUUCCUGACAUGGCUUAAAAUAACAAUCUAACUAACACGAACCCUGCAGCAAUGCUUUGCGCCCUUCCCAACCCAGUGUGAGAGUGUCCCCACCUAUAUUUCUUCACAAAUGCUCCACUGUUAGGUUCCAUCCCUUCCGAUAGAUCUCACAGAAAGCGGGGCCUUUUACCUCUUUCAUCUCGAACCCAGUCGUUUCAGGCAGUCAAAAUGGAUGCGUUAAAAAAAAAAAAAAAAAACCUUGCAGCUAGGACAGCAGAGGAUCUGCUGUGAACUGCUCAGUCAGAGACUUGGAGCUGGAGCUCACGUCUGUAUUUCAGCUGCCCUCUGGUGCUUAGCACUGCAGCAGUACACGCCAUCAUCAUGGCCCCAGUGCUUGGAGGUCCCUGCGACGGAGCAGCGGAAACCAAGCACAGCAAAAAUUCCUUUGAAGACAGAAAAGUGGCCCAGUGCUGUGCAGCAGGGCUACGGUGCUGGAAUCCAGCCCGGCCCAGUGCCGGCGUUGGCAGCGGCCUUCCCAUUAUAUCAGGAAGGGCUGUAUCCCGUCGCCACCAUGCCCCAACCCCCCCGGCUCGCCUCAGCUGUCUGCGGGACGUGGAGCCAGGCAGAGGGUGCCCUGCAAGAAGCAGAGCUGUUGGUUUGAGGUGCGGAAAGCCGGCCAGUCUGGAUGCGACUGCUGCUGCGUGGCGGACAGGGGUCCAGAGAUGUAGAGCAAGGGAGAAAGGCUGUUUGGCAGGGAGGCUGGAAAGAAGAUUGGGACAGAUUUUCCACCAGAUGCUCCCCAGAGCAAAGGCAAUUUCCAGACAAGUUUAUUUACAGCUACAGUUGUGUAUUGUUUGCAAACUCACACCUCCUGAAAAGCAAAAGAGGAGGGAAAAUUACUGGAAACAGAAAAAAAGAAUGCAUGAACAAUCUUUCUGGCUAUAGAGGGACUCUAGUUGGUUAUGUGACCCAUCCUUUGGGGAGGUCUGAGGGGGACAUACCCACCUGGCACUGAGUCUACUGAGUCUGUGCAUCCUUUUUUUGUCUCAUUUGUUAUGAAUAGCCUUCAUCAGCAAGCCAGGACUAUGGUAACAUCUUCUCAGUAUGACUGAUUACCUUUAAAUAGUUUUGUCUUGAAUACGGCGAGAUCUACCUAACGUUGGGUUUUCCAAGCAAGUUCAGACAUCUGUCCCUUGCUGCUACAGUGAUGACUGCACCUUUGCUUACACAUCCACUUCUUCCCACAGCAGUUAAGAAAGGUUAAAUAAAGGUCUACGUCAGCCAGCCUUUGGGCA